Molecule: non-coding RNA, 73 nt
Organism: Phrynosoma platyrhinos (Desert horned lizard)
Lineage: Eukaryota; Metazoa; Chordata; Lepidosauria; Squamata; Phrynosomatidae
Source: the annotation of a GenBank genome assembly
GCCAGCAUAGUUUAGUGGUCUGAGCAUUGGCCUAGGAAUCUUGGGGACCAGGGUUCAAACCCCUGCUUAGCCA